Molecule: long non-coding RNA, 243 nt
Filed under: Musa acuminata (dwarf banana)
Lineage: Eukaryota; Viridiplantae; Streptophyta; Magnoliopsida; Zingiberales; Musaceae
Description: long non-coding RNA (MACU_LNC007590)
Source: RNAcentral
AUUAACUACGAUAACGACGAAGACAUAAAGCAAAACAAAGUGUCGGAGUCAAGCACGAAGGAUUCAUUACGAGUUCGAGAGUUCGACGGAAGUCUAAAGAUUCGUCAGGAAUGCUGCCGGAACUAGCCGAGAAUGAGUAGGGAGCUUGCCGAAGGGUUUUUCGGAAGCUCGCCGGAAGGUUCAUUGGAAGUUCACGGAGCUCGCCGAGAAAGAUCGGAGCUUGCCAAAGAAGCUCGUUGGAAC